This 1740-nucleotide long non-coding RNA is filed under the name Triticum aestivum (bread wheat). Its description in RNAcentral is "long non-coding RNA (TAES_LNC020136)". The record is from RNAcentral. Lineage: Eukaryota; Viridiplantae; Streptophyta; Magnoliopsida; Poales; Poaceae.
UCAGAUUUAAGAUGCGCUUUGAGUAAUUUCAAAAAAAAAAGAUGCGCUUUAAGUGUCUUUAUUAGAAAAAACCUUAUCUAACUUAUCCAAAAAAAAAAACCUAACCUUAUCUAGCCGUCCGACCUCUCCGGACGACCACAAUAUUGUCGUGCAUGAUCAGGCAUGCAAUUAUUACCUCUCAUAAUGUCUCGGGAUUCCACAUAUUAGCAUGUACACAGAACAAUAGCCCGGCAAACAGUUGUGCUGCCCGGUGUCAAAACCCCUAAAGUUGACACCAUAUGCUCCUCCUUCUUCUCCAUUUCUUCGAGGAUCAUCGUCAUCAUCAACUUGUAGCCGCCAUCACCGUCGUCCUAUGACAACGGAUCGAAUAACUCGUUGUAAAUAAACUCAUCAUCCGAGUCCAUUGUGUAUCUCUACAAAUGUGCUUAAAACAAGGUAGAACAUAUGUCCGGAAAUUUUGUCUCAUAAUAAUUGAUGAUUAUUCUAUAUUCAUUUUGGUAUUUUUUUGGAUGAUAAAGGUAAAACCCAAGGCACAUUCAAGACUUUUGUAAGAAAAGAUCAAAGCCAUAUUUAGGUCAAGAUCAAGAAAGUCUGAAGUGAUAAUGGGACGAAGUUCAAGAUCACCAAUAUUGAUGUCUCCCUCGAUGAAAAUGGGAUCAACCACAAGCUUUCCACCACCUGUACCCUCGACAAAAUGGAGUUAUGGAGAGGAAACAUUGAUCGUGGUGGUACACUAUGCUCGACGAGUAUAAUAGGCACAUAUGCUUUUGGCCGAUGCCAUCAACACCAUGUGCACCGCCAUCAAUCAACCAUACCUUCUUAUGUUAUGAGUGUGUUUAGGCUCCCUGUUUCUGUUUGCGAUGAGCUAACAUGGUUGAUGAGGUAAUAUUGAUGGGGUGUCGAGAAUGGGAAAAAGAAGAUGGCCUGGAUGAGCUGGGACAGAAUGAUGCUACCAAAGCCUAUGGGAGGCAUGGCAUGCGAGCUUUCAACCAGGCCUUGUUGGCCAAACAAGCCUGGCGCUUGCUGGACUCGCCUGGAAGUUUAUGUGCACGAUUACUGAAGGCUAAAUAUUACCCUUCAGGUCAUAUUCUGGACACUGUUUUUUCAGGCAAUGGCUCCGCGGUGUGGAAAGGUAUAUUGCAUGGUCUUGAGCUUUUCAAAAAUGGUGUUAUUUGGCGGGUGGGGAACGGAGCUGCAAUACGGACAUGGAGAGACCCAUGGAUACCGCGUCCCUCUUCAUUCCGGCCAAUCUCCCCUAAAGGUACUUGUCGUCUAAAUUGUGUUUCUGAUUUCCUAGAUGUCAAUGGUGCUUGGAGAGUUGACCGCCUGAGACAAUUUUUUCGGCCGAUGGACGUUCAAUAUAUUUUGAAAAUCAGAACAUCCCCCCAUCAGCGAACGGACUUUCUCUCUUGGUUUCCGGAGAAAAGUGGAGUUUUCACAGUGAAAAGUGCAUAUAAACUAGCUAUGUAUGAGCACAAUAUCCAGUUCGCAGAUGGUGCUUCAAGUACUAGCCCAGAUGGCAACCGGGGCUUAUGGAACUGUGUGUGGAAAUCUAACGUACCUCAGAAAAUGAAGAUCACAGCAUGGAGGGCUGUGACAGGAACUCUACCCACACAACAAUGCAAGAAAUACAGACAUGUUUCUACUCUCCUCUUCUCGCGAGCAGAGAUGGGAAAGAGAAAAAAGUGAGCGGGGAUGAAAACGUGUGGAGGAGAGACGGGGUGAAGAGAUAAGGCCGGC